RNAcentral lists this ribosomal RNA (1000 nucleotides) under Escherichia coli. RNAcentral's name for it is "partial 23S ribosomal RNA". It matches the Rfam family "Bacterial large subunit ribosomal RNA", at positions 419 to 1419 of the family's 2925-position model. The record is from RNAcentral. Lineage: Bacteria; Pseudomonadati; Pseudomonadota; Gammaproteobacteria; Enterobacterales; Enterobacteriaceae.
GGGACACGUGGUAUCCUGUCUGAAUAUGGGGGGACCAUCCUCCAAGGCUAAAUACUCCUGACUGACCGAUAGUGAACCAGUACCGUGAGGGAAAGGCGAAAAGAACCCCGGCGAGGGGAGUGAAAAAGAACCUGAAACCGUGUACGUACAAGCAGUGGGAGCCUCUUAAUGGGGUGACUGCGUACCUUUUGUAUAAUGGGUCAGCGACUUAUAUUCUGUAGCAAGGUUAACCGAAUAGGGGAGCCGAAGGGAAACCGAGUCUUAACUGGGCGUUAAGUUGCAGGGUAUAGACCCGAAACCCGGUGAUCUAGCCAUGGGCAGGUUGAAGGUUGGGUAACACUAACUGGAGGACCGAACCGACUAAUGUUGAAAAAUUAGCGGAUGACUUGUGGCUGGGGGUGAAAGGCCAAUCAAACCGGGAGAUAGCUGGUUCUCCCCGAAAGCUAUUUAGGUAGCGCCUCGUGAAUUCAUCUCCGGGGGUAGAGCACUGUUUCGGCAAGGGGGUCAUCCCGACUUACCAACCCGAUGCAAACUGCGAAUACCGGAGAAUGUUAUCACGGGAGACACACGGCGGGUGCUAACGUCCGUCGUGAAGAGGGAAACAACCCAGACCGCCAGCUAAGGUCCCAAAGUCAUGGUUAAGUGGGAAACGAUGUGGGAAGGCCCAGACAGCCAGGAUGUUGGCUUAGAAGCAGCCAUCAUUUAAAGAAAGCGUAAUAGCUCACUGGUCGAGUCGGCCUGCGCGGAAGAUGUAACGGGGCUAAACCAUGCACCGAAGCUGCGGCAGCGACGCUUAUGCGUUGUUGGGUAGGGGAGCGUUCUGUAAGCCUGUGAAGGUGGCCUGUGAGGGUUGCUGGAGGUAUCAGAAGUGCGAAUGCUGACAUAAGUAACGAUAAAGCGGGUGAAAAGCCCGCUCGCCGGAAGACCAAGGGUUCCUGUCCAACGUUAAUCGGGGCAGGGUGAGUCGACCCCUAAGGCGAGGCCGAAAGGCGUAGUCGAU